Molecule: non-coding RNA, 46 nt
Organism: Schistosoma curassoni
Lineage: Eukaryota; Metazoa; Platyhelminthes; Trematoda; Strigeidida; Schistosomatidae
Source: Rfam
GCACUGCUGAGGAGUCCCACACUAGGACGAAACGUUCGUUCAGUGU